Long non-coding RNA from Thalassophryne amazonica, 185 nucleotides. RefSeq lists it as uncharacterized. NCBI's taxonomy places the organism in Eukaryota, Metazoa, Chordata, Actinopteri, Batrachoidiformes, Batrachoididae. The transcript is spliced from 3 exons. The record is from RefSeq and is a predicted model, not a curated record.
UAAUUAAAGAAAACAUGCAGAAAAACAUAAUUACACUUUGAAUUUACAGUUCAAUAUGUGUUGAUCAUGUUUGCAGCCAGCACUGGGAUUCAGAACAUGAAUGUGUGUUUGUAUUUCUUACAAUAUCAACUUUAUUAAUUAAUAAUCAUCAUGUCCAAAUGUAUGUUACAUUGUUCAGUCAGCUC